This is a transfer RNA of Gonapodya prolifera JEL478, 71 nucleotides long. It matches the Rfam family "tRNA". Rfam says of the family: Transfer RNA (tRNA) molecules are approximately 80 nucleotides in length. Their secondary structure includes four short double-helical elements and three loops (D, anti-codon, and T loops). NCBI's taxonomy places the organism in Eukaryota, Fungi, Monoblepharomycota, Monoblepharidomycetes, Monoblepharidales, Gonapodyaceae. The record is from Rfam.
GCGUGGGUAGUGUAGUGGUAUCAUUAGCCCCUGCCACGGGUUAGACCCGGGUUCAAUUCCCGGCCCACGCA